Molecule: ribosomal RNA, 440 nt
Filed under: uncultured bacterium
Lineage: Bacteria
Description: partial 16S ribosomal RNA
Rfam family: Bacterial small subunit ribosomal RNA
Source: RNAcentral
CCUACGGGAGGCAGCAGUGGGGAAUAUUGCACAAUGGGGGAAACCCUGAUGCAGCGACGCCGCGUGAGCGAUGAAGUAUUUCGGUAUGUAAAGUUCUAUUAGCAGGGACGAAAAUGACGGUACCUGACUAAGAAGCCCCGGCUAACUACGUGCCAGCAGCCGCGGUAAUACGUAGGUGGCAAGCGUUAUCCGGAUUUACUGGGUGUAAAGGGCGUGUAGACGGGCUGGUAAGCCAGAUGUGAAAGCUCUGGGCUCAACCCCGAGACUGCAUUUGGAACUAUAGGUCUUGAGUGUUGGAGAGGCAGGCGGAAUUCCGAGUGUAGCGGUGAAAUGCGUAGAUAUUAGGAGGAACACCAGUGGCGAAGGCGGCCUGCUGGACAAUAACUGACGUUGAGGCGCGAAAGCGUGGGGAGCAAACAGGAUUAGAUACCCCAGUAGUC